GGGUGGUUAGCUCAGAGGUAGAGCAAUGCUAUUACACGGCAUAGGUCAAGAGUUCAAUUCUCUUAUCCCCA
RNAcentral lists this transfer RNA (71 nucleotides) under Candidatus Nasuia deltocephalincola. RNAcentral describes it as "Candidatus Nasuia deltocephalinicola tRNA-Val". It matches the Rfam family "tRNA". Rfam says of the family: Transfer RNA (tRNA) molecules are approximately 80 nucleotides in length. Their secondary structure includes four short double-helical elements and three loops (D, anti-codon, and T loops). The record is from RNAcentral. Lineage: Bacteria; Pseudomonadati; Pseudomonadota; Betaproteobacteria.